ACUUACCUGCGGGACCGGGAUAACAGCAGGAAACUGCUGACAAGACCGGAUAAGGUCAUUAAGCCGCAUAGCUUAGUGAUGAAAGGAGACGCCUGCGGAGAGCCUUGCGUCCUAUUAGCUAGUUGGAGGGGUAACGGCCCACCGAGGCGAAGAUAGGUAGCCGGCCUGAGAGGGUGGACGGCCACAAGGGGACUGAGAUACGGCCCUUACUCCUACGGGAGGCAGCAGUGGGGAAUAUUGGACAAUGGGGGCAACCCUGAUCCAGCAAUUCUGUGUGCACGAAGACGGUUUUCGGAUUGUAAAGUGCUUUCAGCAGGGAAGAAGUAAGUGACGGUACCUGCAGAAGAAGCGACGGCUA
RNAcentral lists this ribosomal RNA (358 nucleotides) under Leptotrichia sp. oral taxon 215. Its description in RNAcentral is "bacterial SSU rRNA". It matches the Rfam family "Bacterial small subunit ribosomal RNA", at positions 124 to 499 of the family's 1533-position model. The record is from RNAcentral. Lineage: Bacteria; Fusobacteriati; Fusobacteriota; Fusobacteriia; Fusobacteriales; Leptotrichiaceae.